Molecule: ribosomal RNA, 252 nt
Filed under: Enterococcus faecium
Lineage: Bacteria; Bacillati; Bacillota; Bacilli; Lactobacillales; Enterococcaceae
Description: partial 16S ribosomal RNA
Rfam family: Bacterial small subunit ribosomal RNA
Source: RNAcentral
ACCAGGUCUUGACAUCCUUUGACCACUCUAGAGAUAGAGCUUCCCCUUCGGGGGCAAAGUGACAGGUGGUGCAUGGUUGUCGUCAGCUCGUGUCGUGAGAUGUUGGGUUAAGUCCCGCAACGAGCGCAACCCUUAUUGUUAGUUGCCAUCAUUCAGUUGGGCACUCUAGCAAGACUGCCGGUGACAAACCGGAGGAAGGUGGGGAUGACGUCAAAUCAUCAUGCCCCUUAUGACCUGGGCUACACACGUGCU